AAUAAGGUUCCCUGCUCAGCUCCUGGGGCUGCUAAUGCUUUGGGUUCCUGGAUCCAGUGGAGAUAUUGUGAUGACCCAGACUCCACCCUCCCUGCCCGUCAACCCUGGAGAGCCGGCCUCCAUCUCCUGCAGGUCUAGUCAAAGCCUCCUGCAUAGUAAUGGAUAUACCUAUUUGCAUUGGUACCCGCAGAAGCCAGGGCAAUCUCCACAGCUCCUGAUUUAUAGGGUUUCCAGUCGUUUUUCUGGGGUCCCAGACAGGUUUAGUGGCAGUGGGUCAGGCAGUGAUUUCACACUGAAAAUCAGCUGGGUGGAGGCUGAGGAUGUUGGGGUUUAUUACUGCAUGCAAGCUACACAGUUUCCUAACACAGUGGUACA
This 375-nucleotide long non-coding RNA is filed under the name Homo sapiens (human). RNAcentral's name for it is "non-protein coding lnc-RPIA-19:1". Lineage: Eukaryota; Metazoa; Chordata; Mammalia; Primates; Hominidae. The record is from RNAcentral.